UACGAAGGGAGCUAGCGUUGUUCGGAAUCACUGGGCGUAAAGCGCACGUAGGCGGAUUUGCCAGUCCGGGGUGAAAUCCCGGGGCUCAACCUCGGAACUGCCUUUGAUACAGCAAGUCUUGAGUUCGAGAGAGGUGGGUGGAAUUCCUAGUGUAGAGGUGAAAUUCGUAGAUAUUAGGAAGAACACCGGUGGCGAAGGCGGCCCACUGGCUCGACACUGACGCUGAGGUGCGAAAGCGUGGGGAGCAAACAGG
This 253-nucleotide ribosomal RNA is filed under the name uncultured bacterium. Its description in RNAcentral is "partial 16S ribosomal RNA". It matches the Rfam family "Bacterial small subunit ribosomal RNA", at positions 524 to 776 of the family's 1533-position model. The record is from RNAcentral.